AUAGCGUAUAUUAAAGUUGUUGCAGUUAAAAAGCUCGUAGUUGGAUUUCUGGUGGGAGCGUUGGGCCGGCCCUAAGGGUCUGAGCUCAAAUGUUUUCCGCCAUCCUUGGAGGGAUGUUGUCUGGCAUUAAGUUGUCGGGCUUCCGAUCUCCAUCGUUUACUGUGAAAAAAUUAGAGUGUUCAAAGCAGGCUUAUGCCGUUGAAUACAUUAGCAUGGAAUAAUAAGAUAGGACCUUGGUACUAUUUUGUUGGUUUGCGUACCUAGGUAAUGAUUAAUAGGGACAGUUGGGGAUAUUACUAUUUCGUUGUCAGAGGUGAAAUUCUUGGAUUUACGAAAGAGUAACUACUGCGAAAGCAUUUAUCAAGGAUGUUUUCAUUAAUCAAGAACGAAAGUUAGGGGAUCGAAGAUGAUUAGAUACCAUCGUAGUCUUAACCAUAAACUAUGCCGACUAGGGAUUGGCGGUCGUUUUUCCGACUCCGUCAGCACCUUAUGAGAAAUCAAAGUCUUUGGGUUCCGGGGGGAGUAUGGUCGCAAGGCUGAAACUUAAAGA
Molecule: ribosomal RNA, 550 nt
Filed under: uncultured bolidophyte
Lineage: Eukaryota; Bolidophyceae
Description: SSU rRNA
Rfam family: Eukaryotic small subunit ribosomal RNA
Source: RNAcentral